This 297-nucleotide unclassified non-coding RNA is filed under the name Hevea brasiliensis (rubber tree). Lineage: Eukaryota; Viridiplantae; Streptophyta; Magnoliopsida; Malpighiales; Euphorbiaceae. The record is from RNAcentral.
UGAAGUUAUGAUGUAGUAAAUUUGUUUAAUUAGUCCAUACAUGAUUAACAGAUGUUUUAAGAUACAUAAAUUGAAUACAUAGAACCACUACUGGCUUGCAAAUUAUAAAUUGUAGAGCUUAUGUGGUUAGAGUAAAGUGAGGCAGACCUUCACAACGUCUAACAACUAAAGCCUUCUUAUUACAGUCAGUUGAAUGUUGGCUACAACUGCUAGCUAGAGAAAUUUUAGUCAACAGAAAAAACUGGAAAGAAGAACAUGAGAAUUGGAGACUUUUGGACCCAUCCCACCACAGAGAGU